AGGAAACACCACUCUGACUCACUUCGUGAUUACUUCUCCCCAUUUUAGGGGUAUAACAUUUGAAGGCACCGCUGGGAUAGCUCUUCAGAUGCCCAGUGUCCACAACAUGGCGGCUGAGUUCUGAGGCAGCGAUUCCCCUACAAAACAACCCAGGCAGGCAGGCUACAACGGAGAGGAUGCGGCAGUGAGGAGGGCUGAAAGCUGGUAUUUGAGCACACGCUACCUGAGGCCAAAGAGUGAUCAUCAGGGGUAGGCUAGUUAUCAAGCCAAUCAUGGCCAAGAUCUCUCCAGUCCUACUAACAAUGGCCACCUUAAAAUAAUUACAAGAGGAAGUAGUAGGGGGGGCUACAUACUUUAAAUAGAGACCAUUUGCUGGACAUUUGUGAUUUUCUUAAAAUAUCAGGCGAAGAAAAGCAGACGUGAAGGAAGAAAAAUGAUCUGCCAGUGCAGCAAGAUAAUCACACUUGUUAAUAUUUCUUGAAACAAGAAAAAGAAAUCCAGAAAAUAAGACCGCUCAAAAUCUCAAUAUAGGCCUGGACUACUUGUUUUGAGCAUUCUUGUUAAGAUUUUUGGACAAAUUUGAAUAAGAUAUUUAUUAUUUUUUUCAGUAAAUAAAGGCUUGGAUACAAACCAGGUUAAGGCAAAUUUGCUCAAAAUAAGUCGAGAGAGGAUGAAAACAAGAUGAAGAUUCUUGUUUUAAGUACAUUGAGAAUCUCAUAUUAGUAGAUAAUUCUUAUAUAAGGAAGACUUGUUGAGAGAAAUUAUCCUGUUCCUGUCCCCACCAACUGACAAAAGCAGCUCAGACUUGCAGGGCGCAAAUCUGCUUGCGACACCCGCAAAUCUAAACCUGCCGGCAUUUCUGAAAAUUAACCUACCCCUUUCUCCACCCCAUGUGGAAACUACGACACCUCCGAAAUCGUGGCAGGAUCCUCCGCCUUCUGGCUAAGCUCGAGCUGGGUCGACUUCAGAAACUACAGGGCCUUUGACAUGCCCCGGCCCUCCGUUCACCGGGUAGUGCACAGGGUGAGUGCGAAGAUCGCUGCGCUCCUGUACACAGUGGUCCGACAUCCUACAGCAGAGGAACUCCCACGCCUGGGUAUCCGCUUCGCCCGUCUUGCUGGAACAGCAGCCUUCAGCAGAGUGGUGGGGGCUAUUGAUGGCUGCCACGUCAGGGUGAAGCCCCCAGCAGAGGAUGCUGCCUGUUAUUUUAACAGGAAGCUGUUCCACUCCAUCCAGCUGCAGGCCAUCUGUGAUGACCAAUGCAAAUUCCUGGAUGUGUUUGUGGGGUACACAGGGUCAGUGCAUGAUGCCAGGGUCCUGAGGAACAGCCCCAUCUAUUACGAGCAGUCCUACCCUCCACCAGGCUACUGUAUCCUUGGGGAUGGUGGCUACCCCUGCCUGUCCCAAUCUGCCUUAUGACCCCUUUCAGGCAGCCUGUCCGCAACCACCUCCAAGCUCGCAACAACUGCUGCCUGUCAAAGGCGAGGUGCGUUGUGGAGAGGUCCUUCGGGAUCCCGAAGACGCGAUGGCAGGGUUUUUCCUGCAUAGAGAAAAUUUGGGCGCGCGCCUAAGCCGUUUUCCUGAGCGCCUACAACAAAUCCCGAGCGCCUAAGGCAAAAAAAAAAGUGCGAUAAAAAAUAAAUAAAAAAAAGCUGUCAUUCAUGGCGCAAUUCAGCUUAAUGGUGUUUUGAGCCCUCACCGUCGACUUCAAGGCAGCAGCUUGUCCCACCUCCCACCCCAAUCAUUGAAAAGAGGCUGCUCCAAGCUUGCCAGUUUAGAGAAUACUUGGUUUGAAUUUGAGAUUUGAGCAAGCAACUUAAUGUAGCUAGCUUUUAGCUGUUUUAAACCAAGGCACUUCAAAAAUGUUGUUUACAACCUGCUU
This is a long non-coding RNA of Clupea harengus (Atlantic herring), 1882 nucleotides long. NCBI's taxonomy places the organism in Eukaryota, Metazoa, Chordata, Actinopteri, Clupeiformes, Clupeidae. The record is from Ensembl.